RNAcentral lists this ribosomal RNA (502 nucleotides) under Streptomyces sp. 310A04. RNAcentral describes it as "bacterial SSU rRNA". It matches the Rfam family "Bacterial small subunit ribosomal RNA", at positions 93 to 609 of the family's 1533-position model. The record is from RNAcentral. Lineage: Bacteria; Bacillati; Actinomycetota; Actinomycetes; Kitasatosporales; Streptomycetaceae.
UAGUGGCGAACGGGUGAGUAACACGUGGGCAAUCUGCCCUUCACUCUGGGACAAGCCCUGGAAACGGGGUCUAAUACCGGAUAAUACUCCUGCCUGCAUGGGCGGGGGUUGAAAGCUCCGGCGGUGAAGGAUGAGCCCGCGGCCUAUCAGCUUGUUGGUGGGGUAAUGGCCCACCAAGGCGACGACGGGUAGCCGGCCUGAGAGGGCGACCGGCCACACUGGGACUGAGACACGGCCCAGACUCCUACGGGAGGCAGCAGUGGGGAAUAUUGCACAAUGGGCGAAAGCCUGAUGCAGCGACGCCGCGUGAGGGAUGACGGCCUUCGGGUUGUAAACCUCUUUCAGCAGGGAAGAAGCGAAAGUGACGGUACCUGCAGAAGAAGCGCCGGCUAACUACGUGCCAGCAGCCGCGGUAAUACGUAGGGCGCAAGCGUUGUCCGGAAUUAUUGGGCGUAAAGAGCUCGUAGGCGGCUUGUCACGUCGGAUGUGAAAGCCCGAGGCU